Molecule: ribosomal RNA, 433 nt
Filed under: uncultured bacterium
Lineage: Bacteria
Description: partial 16S ribosomal RNA
Rfam family: Bacterial small subunit ribosomal RNA
Source: RNAcentral
AACGAACGCUGGCGGCAUGCCUAACACAUGCAAGUCGAACGAGACCUUCGGGUCUAGUGGCGCACGGGUGCGUAACGCGUGGGAACCUGCCCUUAGGUUCGGCAUAACUCCCCGAAAGGGGUGCUAAUACCGGAUAAUGUCUUCGGACCAAAGAUUUAUCGCCUUUGGAUGGGCCCGCGUUGGAUUAGCUAGUUGGUAGGGUAAAAGCCUACCAAGGCGACGAUCCAUAGCUGGUCUGAGAGGAUGGUCAGCCACACUGGGACUGAGACACGGCCCAGACUCCUACGGGAGGCAGCAGUGGGGAAUAUUGGACAAUGGGCGAAAGCCUGAUCCAGCAAUGCCGGGUGAGUGAUGAAGGCCUUAGGGUUGUAAAGCUCUUUUACCCGGGAUGAUAAUGACAGUACCGGGAGAAUAAGCUCCGGCUAACUCCGUG